This 1382-nucleotide ribosomal RNA is filed under the name uncultured bacterium. RNAcentral describes it as "bacterial SSU rRNA". It matches the Rfam family "Bacterial small subunit ribosomal RNA", at positions 18 to 1395 of the family's 1533-position model. The record is from RNAcentral.
CCUGGCUCAGGAUGAACGCUAGCUACAGGCUUAACACAUGCAAGUCGAGGGGCAGCAUGGUCUUAGCUUGCUAAGACUGAUGGCGACCGGCGCACGGGUGAGUAACACGUAUCCAACCUGCCGUCUACUCUUGGACAGCCUUCUGAAAGGAAGAUUAAUACAAGAUGGCAUCAUGAGUCCGCAUGUUCACAUGAUUAAAGGUAUUCCGGUAGACGAUGGGGAUGCGUUCCAUUAGAUAGUAGGCGGGGUAACGGCCCACCUAGUCUUCGAUGGAUAGGGGUUCUGAGAGGAAGGUCCCCCACAUUGGAACUGAGACACGGUCCAAACUCCUACGGGAGGCAGCAGUGAGGAAUAUUGGUCAAUGGGCGAGAGCCUGAACCAGCCAAGUAGCGUGAAGGAUGACUGCCCUAUGGGUUGUAAACUUCUUUUAUAAAGGAAUAAAGUUGGGUAUGGAUACCCGUUUGCAUGUACUUUAUGAAUAAGGAUCGGCUAACUCCGUGCCAGCAGCCGCGGUAAUACGGAGGAUCCGAGCGUUAUCCGGAUUUAUUGGGUUUAAAGGGAGCGUAGAUGGAUGUUUAAGUCAGUUGUGAAAGUUUGCGGCUCAACCGUAAAAUUGCAGUUGAUACUGGAUAUCUUGAGUGCAGUUGAGGCAGGCGGAAUUCGUGGUGUAGCGGUGAAAUGCUUAGAUAUCACGAAGAACUCCGAUUGCGAAGGCAGCCUGCUAAGCUGCAACUGACAUUGAGGCUCGAAAGUGUGGGUAUCAAACAGGAUUAGAUACCCUGGUAGUCCACACGGUAAACGAUGAAUACUCGCUGUUUGCGAUAUACUGCAAGCGGCCAAGCGAAAGCGUUAAGUAUUCCACCUGGGGAGUACGCCGGCAACGGUGAAACUCAAAGGAAUUGACGGGGGCCCGCACAAGCGGAGGAACAUGUGGUUUAAUUCGAUGAUACGCGAGGAACCUUACCCGGGCUUAAAUUGCAGAUGAAUUACGGUGAAAGCCGUAAGCCGCAAGGCAUCUGUGAAGGUGCUGCAUGGUUGUCGUCAGCUCGUGCCGUGAGGUGUCGGCUUAAGUGCCAUAACGAGCGCAACCCUUGUUGUCAGUUACUAACAGGUUCCGCUGAGGACUCUGACAAGACUGCCAUCGUAAGAUGUGAGGAAGGUGGGGAUGACGUCAAAUCAGCACGGCCCUUACGUCCGGGGCUACACACGUGUUACAAUGGGGGGUACAGAGGGCCGCUACCACGCGAGUGGAUGCCAAUCCCCAAAACCUCUCUCAGUUCGGACUGGAGUCUGCAACCCGACUCCACGAAGCUGGAUUCGCUAGUAAUCGCGCAUCAGCCACGGCGCGGUGAAUACGUUCCCGGGCCUUGUACACACCGCCC